This 102-nucleotide small nuclear RNA is filed under the name Phascolarctos cinereus (koala). Lineage: Eukaryota; Metazoa; Chordata; Mammalia; Diprotodontia; Phascolarctidae. The record is from RNAcentral.
ACGCUCUCAUUGGCAGCACAUACGAUAAAACUGAAACAAUGAGAUUUAGCACGGCCCCUGCCCAAGGAUGACGGGCAAAUUCACGAAGUAUUCCAUAUUUUC